This 468-nucleotide ribosomal RNA is filed under the name uncultured bacterium. Its description in RNAcentral is "partial 16S ribosomal RNA". It matches the Rfam family "Bacterial small subunit ribosomal RNA", at positions 28 to 507 of the family's 1533-position model. The record is from RNAcentral.
GACGAACGCUGGCGGCGUGCUUAACACAUGCAAGUCGAACGGAAAGGCCCUGCUUUUGUGGGGUGCUCGAGUGGCGAACGGGUGAGUAACACGUGAGUAACCUGCCCUUGACUUUGGGAUAACUUCAGGAAACUGGGGCUAAUACCGGAUAGGAGCUCCUGCUGCAUGGUGGGGGUUGGAAAGUUUCGGCGGUUGGGGAUGGACUCGCGGCUUAUCAGCUUGUUGGUGGGGUAGUGGCUUACCAGGGCUUUGACGGGUAGCCGGCCUGAGAGGGUGACCGGCCACAUUGGGACUGAGAUACGGCCCAGACUCCUACGGGAGGCAGCAGUGGGGAAUAUUGCACAAUGGGCGGAAGCCUGAUGCAGCAACGCCGCGUGCGGGAUGACGGCCUUCGGGUUGUAAACCGCUUUCGCCCGUGACGAAGCGUGAGUGACGGUAAUGGGUAAAGAAGCACCGGCUAACUACGUG